Molecule: long non-coding RNA, 6598 nt
Filed under: Erythranthe guttata (spotted monkey flower)
Lineage: Eukaryota; Viridiplantae; Streptophyta; Magnoliopsida; Lamiales; Phrymaceae
Description: long non-coding RNA (EGUT_LNC000608)
Source: RNAcentral
GAUCAACGAGGUUCAAUCUCAAGGCCUCUAAACAAUUAUUUCUUUGAAGGCCUAACUGCUGAAAUUCGAAUUAUAAGUGACAACUUGUCUUCUUCGCCGGAUUCCGGCUGCUGGAAAUAGAACACCAUCUCAGCCCCGUAUCUUUCAACCAUGUUGCUAUUUUAAGAUUUCUAGAUUUACUAAUUUAAAAAUCAGAAGAACAAAGGUUCUAAAGGGGUGCUCGGCCGUGAGUUUUCAUGGAGAAAGGAAGAUACCAUGAAUAUUGCUAUUGCUAGAACUGUUAAAUGAACGAGAUAAAGAUUGGUUAAUUAAGAAAAGAGAGAGUGAAGAGAUGAAGAUGGAGAGAGAGAGAGAGGCGGUGAGAAGGUGAGAGAAGAAGAAGAAACGUGGCUGCCAAAGGAGUAUUGUGAAUUGACGAUAUACACGUCAAUUCCUAUCUCAACAAUAAAUUAUGAAAAUUGGCUAUAAGGCCAAAUUGUUUUCUUAAUUACCAAAUAGAUGCCAUAACUUUAGAUAAUUACAAUUCUACACUUCCCAUCAAAUUCGAGAUAUAUUAUAAUUCCAUAUCGACACAUAUCAACUAAAUAAAUUCUAUUAUCCCCACACUUAAACAACUUACAUAUUUACGGGGUGUUACACUCUUCCUUCCUUAAUAGAAUCUGGUCCCCAGAUUCUCAACUAUUAUUCAAACAUGGAAAUACAAUUUCCUAAAAUUCUUUUCGUGCUCAUCGGUCGCUUCUUCAACGUGGUGGUUUCUCCAUAACACUUUCAAAUCUUGUGAUUGAAGAAUUCAUUAUCAUGAUAGAUAUCACUUGAGCGUAUAAUCUCUAGCAAGUAAUGAAAGUUGGUGCCGACAAUAGGAACCGAUUUCUAUUCAUGUGAUUAUUUAUCUUCAAGCCAUGUCGCUUCAAUGAAUAAUAUCCGAAAUCGAUCAAAAUGGUGUUAGCUUAGUCGGUAUACCUAAAACAUAUCAUAAAUUGUAUCCUUAACGAUCUAUAUGUUCCAAACUUGGUAUUGACUUAAGUAACGAGUUAAACUACUAUCGUAAUGAAUUCGAAAUUACUUAUUCAAUUCAAAUCUGAGGUAGUACUAGGAAGUACUUCUUGUGGAACCUUAAUAUCCGCGGCACCAUUAGCAAUACCGUACAGUUCAUCGGUCUCAUACUCGAUGUAGCCUUACUGUUGAGCAAAAUGCUAAAUAUUUCUAACGUUAUAGAAGUUGAAGGCCGAGAUACAGUUCGUCAACCAAUUAAUGGGAAUUGUGAGGUACAUCAACUAUGAGGAAACAAUCGAGUUAGGGUUGUAGCUAGAGUGCUACAAAUGGUCUGAUGAGAGGAAUGAAAGGGAUUAAUAAGGGGUCUUAUAUCGUUCGAAUCAUUAAAUCUCUCCCUAGUUAUCCGUGUCACAUUCUUCAAGAGAACGUGUUUCUUCUCAUCCGUUUCGCUCGAACCUUCGUGGUAAUUAGAAUUAUAUAUCUAGCUCCACAUAUGUAUAACUCUUUUGAAAAUCACUUGUAGACUUUGAUCUUUAUUCGAUAAGUCGAACUUAACCAGCAGCAUUCACUAUGAUCUCCAAUCACCACCCCUUCUGUUUGCUAUCGUUGGUUAUUCGCCGCUCAUCUAGUCUGGAAUUGCAAGCUUAAUUGACACUUUAUUCCAUGAACACUGCGAAAAUGUUUGUAUUCCAGCUUGAUAGGUUCCCAAUCAUCACGAUAAUAUGCGCUAUACAUUCUCAAUGUAACUUCAAUUUGUCCAGUCACCCACUUAAAUGAUAAGUUAGUUUUGAGAACGUUUCUCGUACCGAGCUGAAAUUUUGUCCCAUAUCGCAGAUAGUUGCUUUCAUAAGAACGAGAUGACUCAUAAUCUAUAUCGAGACAAUGUGAGUUGGCUACAAGAGAUAGAUUUCGGAUCUAAAUUAUCUUCAGCAGACAAAGAGGCAACUACUCUCCCGGUCCACAAAAUUCUCUUCUCAUUGGCCUACAUAAAGUGGAAUUGAAUGCACCAUAAUUAUAAUCAAAGAGGACGGCGAAGCCUGAUUUACUUAUGGUGAUUUACUUAUGGUAUCAACAUUGGACACUAUAAGGGCUUGAAUAUAGAUGGAGUUCACAAAGAAAAGGUUUUCGAACAGUAGGUCGACCAGGCAACGGUUGAUGGAAGAGACUUUUACUUCUAAAAUCAAGAGUAAUUGAAGGUGGCAACGGUUGAUACAAUCUUCCCGUGGUUUCGCAACCGCAUGCCUAAUAAAUACUUAUCGUAGAGAAGUCAUGACUCAGAAUAUCCGACAAUUGAGUAGUCUUAAUUUCAUUCAAUUCACUACCAUUUCAAGAUAGGUCAACUAGUCUAAUGUCAUUCUUCGAUACUAAGUACGCUCUAAUCACGUCCGAAACAGUAUACACACUAUGUCUAGUAAUGUCCAUGGUGAAUUACUUCAACCAAACGACAUGACGGGCAAAACUUAUUUAUAGCAAGUUGAACAUGCAAGCCGAAUUCUUGCAGUUGUCGUUCCCAUCUUACAAAGAAAAGUGCAAUCAUCUACGGUGUUAUUGACAAAGGUGUUCUACUUUAAACUUCUUCUCCACAUAGCACUUAGCUCUUCAUAUUAACCGAAUAGAAUUGCAAAAACUGAUAAUCUAAUGUCAAGAUAUAGCCGAGUUAUCGGAUACUAGGGACUCUAGAGGUGGCUCAUGCAAGAUUAAGAAGUGGCUCCCGCUGUGUAGCACUUUGUCCCGCAGGUUCAAGAGGUGGCUCCCACACCGUAGCACUUUGCCCUGCAUAGCACUUAGCUCCCUGUACCCUGACGAUUAGAAUCAAGAAUUCAAGUGCUCAAGAUACCUUAAGAGUCAACAAACUCUAUACAAUUUCUAAGUCGUGAUAACUACAUAACCCUUUUCCGUCGAGUAAGAUAAUCGUCGAAACUAUUCCAGGUCGAAUUCAUAAGAUGAUAUAACAAUAGAUGCAUACAACCGUAGUCAUAUUACACGACAUUGCCCAAACAAGGUCCAUACUUUUACCCUGAAUUAACAAUAAUCAUGGCCUAUGAGUGAGAGGGAACAACAGGAAGCGAUAUGAAGAAGUCGAAUCACAAGGUUUCAAAGGGAUAAGAAAACUCACACAAUAGGCUAUCCAAAUCAAGAAGUAUUAAAUGAGAUGAGGAAUCUCAAAAAGAACAUAACAAGAAUAUGGAAGCAUUCAAACAAGAUCAAACACCUCACUCAUGAUCAAUAAUGGGAAGGAAGUAAGAUAGUCAAGCAAUAUUGUAUACAAGAAUCAGAUACCUGAGAAAGUAGGUAACCGAGAUGCCGAAGUAUAGAAAUGAGAUAAGGAGUUUUGAAAUGGGAUAUGGGAUUAUCAUUGUGAUCAAUAAUAACAAUGGAGCAAACACAUGUACAAGAAUUGAAUUUUGAGGCCAAAAGAACAAGAACCUCAAAAAUAGGUAGAAAGAUUGACCCGACAUUAGAAUAAUAACAAUGGUAUAGCCAAAUGAAACGAGAAUAGGGACCUCAAAAGUAUGUAACCAAAAUCACGAGAUUUUCAAGGAAAUUGGAACACUGAAAAUUGAGUAGUAUAGAUUGAGUAAAGCAAUAUUCGAGGAAAUAAAAGUCUCGACAAAUAGAUUAGCCGAAACUAUAGUGUUCAAAGAGAUACAAAAACUCACAAUCAGGUAGAUGAAAGCAGAUGGUAAUAGAAUAAAGUAAGAAGCCUCAGAAGAACAUGACCAAAGUCAUGACGUAUUCAAAAUAAUUGGAUCACUAAAGAUGGAGUGAACUCGAUAAGAAGUCUCGGCAAAUAGAUAAGCCAAAACCAUAGAAUAUUUAAAAAAGAAAGAAGAUGGAGAUGGUAGCACAUAAGGUAAGGGCUUCAAAACAAGAGAUAAUCCAAACCAUGCGGAAUUUGAAGGGGUACGAAACCUCAUAAAAUUGGUAACUAAGACUAUGAGGUAUUAAAAUGAGAUAAGAGAAUCAAUUACGAUCAACAAAUGAAAUUAGACAAUAUAGGCCAACGAAUCAAAAUUGAAUUCAUUGGAAUGACAAGGAGUGAACAAAAGAACUCCCGAAUAUUUGGUUCACCGUAAUUCAAUAUUCAAACUGAGAUAAUAUGGUUUCGAUAAGGAAGUCAAGUUAUGAAGUAAAAUGGAAUGGGACGUCUACAAGAAAAGGUGUUACCAAAUUCAAGUGAGACUAGAAACCUCACUCGUGAUCAACAUUGGAGAAUUGGGAGAAUUGGAAGCCAAUUGAAGUAACCAAAUAGAUAAGCCGUCUCAGGUUGUGUAUGAUAGAUAUUUCUACGGGUUAUUCCUCACUAUCUACACGCUAAAGAAUUAUCUCAAUGCUUCUAUGACUCGAAAACUGCCAAUCACAAUUUAGCCCAAGAUUCAAUUCAUAGCUCUACAAUUCUCAAAGAUCCCUUUCCAUUACCGCCCGGGCAUCCAACCCAAAGCCAACCCAAAGCUUUACCAACCCAAAGCUCUGAUACCACCUGUAGCGCCCCGCCCCGAGUAGCAGGCACCUCGUGGCGGAACACCACUCAACAUGCAGUACAUUCAAUGACCCCAAAUAUGCUCCUCAAAAUUGCAAUGAUCAAAACAUUAAACCCCCAAUAUCUAUACCAUCGUGUUUACAAAAGGAGGUUCUAUUACAAGUCGACUUCGACACCACUUACUCUAUUACAAAAUUCUCGAUCAAAGGAUUCCUAUACGGAACAUAAAUAGAGAUACCUCUCGACGAGACUAAUCGGAGGCAUACACGAGCUUUAACUCUUAGUAUGAAAAUUUAGGUAUAAAUCUUUCUUUUACCUGCGCAUUAAUAUCAGAAAGGAGAAACGAAUAAGUCCGAAUGACUUAGUGAAAAACAUAUGAUCCAUGAGUAUGAUGAGAAUCAACAAAACAGAACAUAUAACGAGAGACUUUACAAGAAUUUCAUUAAUAGAAGUGUAACAUGUACAAGAGUGUAACAUGUACGGCUUGAGUUCAAUGUUUGGUGGGGUCUCCAACCUUGUAACUCCCAACAAAUAAAAUCAUAUCACAUCCUUAUCCCUCCAAUCCGUCCCGAGUGGCCACUCGGUCGGAAACAGGCAGGAGGCACGACCGGAACGUGCCGAUCCGGCUCAGGAACGUUUAACUCCAAACGAACGUGAGUCCGAACCAUCAGGAGGUACCAUUCGGGAGACCAGUCAUCGUCAGCCCAAUACUGCCCGAUCGUCUUGCCGAAAUGGUCCUAGGGCCCAGCUCCCCCAAGAGCGUCCUCAAGGGUGGGGACAGUAGGUUCAAGAAUCAAUAUCAUUCCUUUUAGGAAUAUCAAGUCAUUCAUUUCAAGAAUCAAGUCAAUCAUUCACAAGAUAAGUCACGAUCAUGAUAAUUGAAUAUCAAGUCUCAGGAUAAUGAACAUGUUCAGAUUUCAAUUCAAGCCAAUGAAGAAUUGUCGUGAAUAUGGAAUUCAAGAAUUCAAGAAGAACAAUAAAUUCCAUGUCAGGUUCCAAGAACGAGUAUAUCAAGAUCUCAAUGAAUUCAAUAAACAUGAGAUUCAAGUUCGAGCCAACAAAAUAUUUAUUCUCGGAAAGCAUUCAAUCGGAAAGCAUUCAAGACAAGAUUUUGAGAAUAAAUAUUAUUCAAUAUCGAUUCAAGGAAAAUGUUCGGGCCAAGGAAUCAAGUAUAGGAAUUAGCCGUGAACAUAGCAACCAAGAGAAUUGACAAGUUCAAGAUUUCAAGAACAAGAUCAAGGUUCCAAGUUCGAGCCAAGGAAACGAAUAUGCUCGCAGAACAUUAAGGAUCAUAUUCCAAGAAAAAUAUAACAACUUAAUCUACAAGUUUUAUGAAGGCACAGAGCCCAAAUUAUGAUCCCAACAUAUCGAAAACAGUCCCGCAAGCGGAUAAGGGGUCAUAGUUUCUCACCUGGAGUCCAAUGCUAGUUCUAUAGGUGCAUCUUUAAGCUUAAACCUUGAGUGAGAGCUUUAGUACGCUCGACACUUAUAUUUUACGAUGUCCUCUACGAGUUUCCUGAAGGAACUGAUUCGAAAUUCGCAUUCGAAACCCUUUGAUUUCGGCUCCGAAAACAGGUGCGGCAGCAGGUUUUGCUUCCCCAAAAUCGCAGCGAGCAGGCUGACUUCUCAGCAAACUCCGGGGACCGCCGCCCGUGCAAACCAUCAAGAACCACGACCAAUAGAGAGCCAAACUCAUUAGCUUUCUAACGAUGGAUCUAUUCGUCAACCAAUUAAUGAAUUGUUUACAUCGUGUGAGUGGAUGACUGAAAACAUUGAAGGAACCUUGUGAACGUAACAACUUGUCUUCUUCGCCGGAUUCCGGCUGCUGGAAAUAGAACACCAUCUCAGCCCCGUAUCUUUCAACCAUGUUGCUAUUUUAAGAUUUCUAGAUUUACUAAUUUAAAAAUCAGAAGAACAAAGGUUCUAAAGGGGUGCUCGGCCGUGAGUUUUCAUGGAGAAAGGAAGAUACCAUGAAUAUUGCUAUUGCUAGAACUGUUAAAUGAACGAGAUAAAGAUUGGUUAAUUAAGAAAAGAGAGAGUGAAGAGAUGAAGAUGGUGAGAGAGAGAGAGGCGGUGAGAAGGUGAGAGAAGAAGAAGAAACGUGGCUGCCAAAGGAGUAUUGUG